Molecule: ribosomal RNA, 537 nt
Filed under: Bifidobacterium breve
Lineage: Bacteria; Bacillati; Actinomycetota; Actinomycetes; Bifidobacteriales; Bifidobacteriaceae
Description: bacterial SSU rRNA
Rfam family: Bacterial small subunit ribosomal RNA
Source: RNAcentral
CGGGUGGUAAUGCCGGAUGCUCCAUCACACCGCAUGGUGUGUUGGGAAAGCCUUUGCGGCAUGGGAUGGGGUCGCGUCCUAUCAGCUUGAUGGCGGGGUAACGGCCCACCAUGGCUUCGACGGGUAGCCGGCCUGAGAGGGCGACCGGCCACAUUGGGACUGAGAUACGGCCCAGACUCCUACGGGAGGCAGCAGUGGGGAAUAUUGCACAAUGGGCGCAAGCCUGAUGCAGCGACGCCGCGUGAGGGAUGGAGGCCUUCGGGUUGUAAACCUCUUUUGUUAGGGAGCAAGGCAUUUUGUGUUGAGUGUACCUUUCGAAUAAGCACCGGCUAACUACGUGCCAGCAGCCGCGGUAAUACGUAGGGUGCAAGCGUUAUCCGGAAUUAUUGGGCGUAAAGGGCUCGUAGGCGGUUCGUCGCGUCCGGUGUGAAAGUCCAUCGCUUAACGGUGGAUCCGCGCCGGGUACGGGCGGGCUUGAGUGCGGUAGGGGAGACUGGAAUUCCCGGUGUAACGGUGGAAUGUGUAGAUAUCGGAAAA